RNAcentral lists this ribosomal RNA (492 nucleotides) under uncultured bacterium. RNAcentral describes it as "partial 16S ribosomal RNA". It matches the Rfam family "Bacterial small subunit ribosomal RNA", at positions 29 to 507 of the family's 1533-position model. The record is from RNAcentral.
AGUGAACGCUGGCGGUAGGCCUAACACAUGCAAGUCGAACGGCAGCACAGUAAGAGCUUGCUCUUACGGGUGGCGAGUGGCGGACGGGUGAGGAAUACAUCGGAAUCUACUUUUUCGUGGGGGAUAACGUAGGGAAACUUACGCUAAUACCGCAUACGACCUACGGGUGAAAGCAGGGGAUCUUCGGACCUUGCGCGAUUGAAUGAGCCGAUGUCGGAUUAGCUAGUUGGCGGGGUAAAGGCCCACCAAGGCGACGAUCCGUAGCUGGUCUGAGAGGAUGAUCAGCCACACUGGAACUGAGACACGGUCCAGGCUCCUACGGGAGGCAGCAGUGGGGAAUAUUGGACAAUGGGCGCAAGCCUGAUCCAGCCAUACCGCGUGGGUGAAGAAGGCCUUCGGGUUGUAAAGCCCUUUUGUUGGGAAAGAAAAGCAGCAGGUUAAUACCCCGCUGUUCUGACGGUACACAAAGAAUAAGCACCGGCUAACUUCGUG